GAGGGAAAGGCGAAAGAACCCGGAGGGGAGUGAAAUAGAUCCUGAAACCGCAUGCAUACAAACAGUGGGAGCCUCCUUGAGGGGUGACUGCGUACCUUUUGUAUAAUGGGUCAGCGACUUACGUUCAGUAGCGAGCUUAACCGAAUAGGGGGAGGCGUAGGGAAACCGAGUCUGAUAAGGGCGCCUAGUUGCUGGACGUAGACCCGAAACCAAGUGAUCUAUCCAUGGCCAGGAUGAAGGUGCGGUAACACGCACUGGAGGUCCGAACCCACUAAUGUUGAAAAAUUAGGGGAUGAGCUGUGGAUAGGGGUGAAAGGCUAAACAAACUUGGAAAUAGCUGGUUCUCUCCGAAAACUAUUUUAGGUAGUGCCUCAAGUAUCACCGACGGGGGGUAAAGCACUGUUAUGGCUAGGGGGUC
This 418-nucleotide ribosomal RNA is filed under the name uncultured bacterium. RNAcentral describes it as "bacterial LSU rRNA". It matches the Rfam family "Bacterial large subunit ribosomal RNA", at positions 505 to 928 of the family's 2925-position model. The record is from RNAcentral.